UAUGUUGGUUGGAUUGGUAGGUAGAUUGUCCUGAUUGAAUGCAAUCUGCUACAGGAAAAACCAAUGUAGUCAAGUCUAUGAUUGUUAUUUCCAGUCAAUGAAAUUGGUUAUUUCCCUCGACAAGUUUAUUGUGGGCAAAUCUUUUUAUUUUCUCUGUAAGCUAUUUGUUUAUAACAGAAUACCAUUCAGUUUUCUUACUAAAUGCUAGUUCAUUCACAAAUGUAUGGUCAAUCCAUCAAAGAAAUAAACAUGUGGUUAUGAAUCUUAACAUCAUCAGCUGAGACAAGAGCUCUCUCUGCAAAAUGUCGUCUCUCCACAUUUGGGUCCAGACCAUCAGGCAGGAAACUUCCAUUCUCCAUAUCGUGGAACAUGCGACUAACGUUGAUCUUGGUCGCAUCGUCAAACUGCAUACGAGCGUACUCGGACUGCGACAGACAGGUUGGCUGGGUAACUAACAACACUUAUAAUGUUGGAGGAUGAAGUCGACACUGUCUGGCAACUACCAUGUUCUCCUUCUCAACCCGUCUUCGUUUGGUAUCCGGACUUUCUGAGGGAGGCAUCACAGCUCCAGACAGCAGCUGCACGGGAACAUCGGUGUAUCGAUCUACAACGUUUGGAUCUAUCUUUAUGUCGUACUUUAGCAUGUUGGUGCCCACACUGCCGAUGAUUUCUUUCUGUUCUUUCUCAUCCUUAAAUGAAAACUUGGCCAAAUUUCUUUUAUUACAAAGUUUUUUAACAGUUUUUAAACUCUUCACGUUAGGCCUGGGUUGUUCACAAUCACUAUCAGAGGUAUCUGAGUCCUCAAAAUAUUUGGCUACAGGUUUUCUGUUUCGUACUCUCAAGUAAUAUGGGACUGGUAUUUCUUCUGAAUUUGAAUUCACCUUUUUGCCAUCAAUUUUACAUUCUCCUUCUGAAUUAAUAUUCAAAGUUAAACCAAAACAUUUCCUCUUUUGAAGUGCAGCGGAAGGUUUGUUCUCAAUAUUGGUGUUCAGAUCAUUGAGUUCUCUGUCACGACUUGAAUGACUUUGAUCCAUAUUUAGUGUAAAUCGUGGUUUUCUCUUAAAUAAUUGUUAAUGUCUGCCUUUAAAAUAAAUUAUCACUCAAUUACUUUUUACACCAAAAGUUCUUUAAUCACGGAAUUGGAUUCAAUAUAAACCUGAAACAGAACCAAAAGCUAAUAAUCAGACUAGAAGUGUAGAAUAGUAAUUUCACCAUACAAAUCUGACAGCAACAAAUCUGCUAGAUUAACAUACAAAAAUAAACUUAACACUAAUAAUAGAUUUUUAGACACCAGCUUUCCCAAAGUUCAAAGGAGCCAAAUUCAAAUCAACAUAUAUUUUGUUCUUAGAGAAUUUCAAACAAAGUAUUAAAAAAGUUUCAAAACAACCAAGA
Molecule: long non-coding RNA, 1392 nt
Organism: Homalodisca vitripennis (glassy-winged sharpshooter)
Lineage: Eukaryota; Metazoa; Arthropoda; Insecta; Hemiptera; Cicadellidae
Exons: 3
Source: RefSeq, a predicted model, not a curated record